UACGGAAGGCAGCAGUGGGGAAUAUUGCACAAUGGGCGAAAGCCUGAUGCAGCUAUGCCGCGUGUAUGAAGAAGGCCUUAGGGUUGUAAAGUACUUUCAUCGGGGAGGAAAAAACAAAACUAAUAAUUUUAUUUCUUGACGUUACCCGAAAAAGAAGCACCGGCUAACUCCGUGCCAGCAGCCGCGGUAAUACGGAGGGUGCUAGCGUUAAUCAGAAUUACUGGGCGUAAAGAGCACGUAGGUGGUUUUUUUAAAGUCAGAUGUGAAAUCCCUGGGCUUAACCUGGAACUGCAUUUUGAAACUGAAAUACUAGAGUAUCGUAGAGGGAGGUAGAAUUCUAGGUGUAGCGGUGAAAUGCGUAGAUAUCUGGAGGAAUACCUGUGGCGAAAGCGGCCUCCUAAACGAAUACUGACACUGAGGGUGCGAAAGCGUGGGGAGCAAACAGGGAUUAGGAUACC
Molecule: ribosomal RNA, 458 nt
Filed under: uncultured bacterium
Lineage: Bacteria
Description: bacterial SSU rRNA
Rfam family: Bacterial small subunit ribosomal RNA
Source: RNAcentral